GAGGGAAAAGCCCAAAUUUGUAAUCUGGCUCUUUUAUAAGGGUCCGAGUUGUAAUUUUGAGAACUGUUUUCCGUGCUGGACCAUGUACAAGUCUGUUGAAAAACAGCAUCAUUGAGGGUGAUAAUCCCGUACAUGAUAUGGACUACCAGGGCAAUGUGAUACAGUCUCUAAGAGUCGAGUUGUUUGGGAAUGCAGCUCAAAGUGGGUGGUAAAUUCCAUCUAAGGCUAAAUAUAGGUGAGAGACCGAUAGCAAACAAGUACCGUGAGGGAAAGAUGAAAAGAACUUUGGAAAGAGAGUUAACAGUACGUGAAAUUGUUAAAAGGGAAACAUUUGAAGUUAGACUUGUUAUUGUUGGUUCAGCUCUUUUUAUAAGGGUGUAUUCCAAUGGUUAACAGACCAGCAUCAAUUUUUGGGUGUUAGAUAAGGGUCUUGAGAAUGUAGCAACCUCGGUUGUGUUAUAGAUCUUGACUUGAUAUAAUGCUUAGGAUUGAGGAACGCAGUGAGCUUCUUUUGAAGUGGAUCCUCUUGGGGAUCUUCUCACUACGGAUGUUG
Molecule: ribosomal RNA, 553 nt
Filed under: Chrysomyxa qilianensis
Lineage: Eukaryota; Fungi; Basidiomycota; Pucciniomycetes; Pucciniales; Coleosporiaceae
Description: partial large subunit ribosomal RNA
Rfam family: Eukaryotic large subunit ribosomal RNA
Source: RNAcentral